Molecule: long non-coding RNA, 285 nt
Filed under: Elaeis guineensis (African oil palm)
Lineage: Eukaryota; Viridiplantae; Streptophyta; Magnoliopsida; Arecales; Arecaceae
Description: long non-coding RNA (EGUI_LNC029635)
Source: RNAcentral
UCCAUUCAUGGGUGGAAGAAUCAAUUCUUCUUUGUUUCUUCUCCGUCUUCUUGGGGCUUUCCUUCUCACUGGGGCGUGCCCCGAACCGAAGCUAAUGACAACAGUCGGGUGGAAGCGGACGACCGGGAGGACUUCCACCGACUAAAAGAUAUGUCGGUCCCGAAGCAGAGGGAGCUUGUUACCGAAUAAGCUCUCUAUGACGCCGGCUUAAGCUUGGUCCCCCGACUAGGUAUCGUCCGAUUUUUCGGUCUCCUUUUCAUCCGACCCUUAGUCCGGUCCUUUAGC